Molecule: ribosomal RNA, 417 nt
Filed under: uncultured bacterium
Lineage: Bacteria
Description: bacterial SSU rRNA
Rfam family: Bacterial small subunit ribosomal RNA
Source: RNAcentral
AAUGAACGCUGGCGGCGUGCUUAACACAUGCAAGUCGAACGAGGCGGAGGGGGCAACCCCUCCAGUCGAGUGGCGGACGGGUGAGUAACACGUGGGUAACCUGCCCGGAAGUGGGGAACACCUCGGGGAAACUCGAGCUAAUACCGCAUGACAUCUUCGGGACGAAAGUCCUGACGAUCAAAGCGGGGCCGCAAGGCCUCGCGCUUCCGGAUGGGCCCGCGCCCGAUUAGCUAGUUGGCGAGGUAACGGCUCACCAAGGCUUCGAUCGGUAACCGGCCUGAGAGGGCGAUCGGUCACACCGGAACUGAGACACGGUCCGGACUCCUACGGGAGGCAGCAGUGGGGAAUCUUGCGCAAUGGGCGAAAGCCUGACGCAGCAACGCCGCGUGGAGGAUGAAGGCCCUUGGGUUGUAAACU